GUGGCUUUCAGAGUAGAUGCCAAGUGAGGGGCAUAUUUUACCUGUAAAUACCUUACUUUAUUUCCUGGGGAAUCCUCUGGCGCAGUAGAGGAGUCUAGGGUGUUACCAGUGACCCGAGGAAGCACUGGGAAAAGACUGUUUUCUGUCUUUGUCGGUCCCUCCCUCUUUGUCUCUCUGCCCUGCCUGGCUUUGUUGGGCUCUUCUUGAUCCGUGCUGCUCACCACUCUCCUCCGUCCUGUCGUGUGGGGGCGCUCCUGAGCCUGCGAGUCUGCCUGACCACACAGGAAGGAGCAGGUCUUCUGAUCGCUCUUCCUUGCCCUUGCACCAGUAGAGGAAAGAAAGGUAGCCCAGUGUCAGAGUAACCGGAAGUUCUUUUCUUGCCCUAGACAGCCAGUGUCCUUGCUCUUGAGGCAGCUGCUUUGAUUCAGGUGAAGCCAAGAGUGCAGGUGUGUGGGUGGUAGGAACCAGCAAGGAGAUGUGUCCAGAGGCCCCUGCAGAAGAUGGAGGGGGCUGAUUUUGAGGGAAGAGGAAAAAAUGGGAAAUUAUUUCAAGGAGAUCUUGAACUUCCAGAGGAAAAGUAAAAAUUCCAUUCGCUCAUGAGAAUGCAAGGGCCCUAAUAAAUUCUUGGACCUGAGCAGGAGACCCCGCUGGCGCUGCCACCUAUUAGCAGGAGACUUGGGUGAAUUGCUUUCAGAUUUUUUCUCCAGUGUAUUGGAGUGACCUUCACCUACCUCAGAGGGUCCUAAGAAUUAAAAGGGAGUAAUGCAGGCAGAAAUCGUUCCUUCAGGAUACUGGUCUAGGUGUGGCAAGUGCUGUGCAAACUAAGCCUCCUGGAGGUUUCUGUGAAGCUGAGACUUAACAGCAGUUGGGCUUUUACAGAUGAACAGGCCCAGGUGAGGGAGGGACUUACAACCUGUAUCUUGAGAGCGCGGGUGGGAGUGGAGCAGGGCAACAGGGUGAGGCUCGUGAUCAAGUCUCUAAAGCCACUCCUUUAUUUGGAGGCACCAGAAACUGCUGAACGCAGGCAACUUUUGGGGAAGUCAUUCCUGUACCAGUGGCUAUGCAGUGGGUGGCCUGGAGAGGCAGACUUAGAGGCGUGGGCCCGGCCCA
RNAcentral lists this long non-coding RNA (1110 nucleotides) under Sus scrofa (pig). Its description in RNAcentral is "lncRNA (ENSSSCG00005009843.1)". The record is from RNAcentral. Lineage: Eukaryota; Metazoa; Chordata; Mammalia; Artiodactyla; Suidae.